CCAAGAGCUUGCACAGCAGCCCACUGCCCUGGAAGCCCUUACAGAGACUUUGACUUUUCAGAAUUUUGAUGCUGGCCACAGGGGUGUUGAAGCAGGGGCUACUACUGCAGGGAGCUCUAAGUACAGAUCCUCGCCUUCUCACUUGAACACAUAGGCUCGAUGGCAGCGUUUGCUACCUGUGCAAGCUCAUAAAAUUCCAUCUCCUAGGUGCUAAGCAACGUCUACUGCCCAAGGGCCAACCUGGCUGGCAUUACUGUCUCUAGCCCUGUGGAUGCCGGGAGUCCAGUACCACCAACCAAAGCCUCCAAUUUCCUAAGCUGAAAAAGGUUAAUGUUGGCUUUGACUGUAUGUCUCACCCAAACCUUAGGAGUCGGGCUCUCUGUUCAACUGGUACCAGAAGCAACUCGUCCAUGAGCAAACCUAACCCCUCCAUAAGCUGGUUAAUUAUCAUCUCUGAUUUUUUUCUCCUCUGGAAGAGCACACAUGUACAGUCUGAGAUAAGAGCUGAUAUUUUUGCUUGUUGGGAAAUCCUUGAACCAAACUGGAAGAAGAGGAAAAGGCCUUUGUAUCCUUAAUCUUUCCGCACUGAGCUGGAUCUGUAUAGUUAAUAUGGAAAACUGUAACUGUGUAAUGAGAAGGGGUGUGGGCCAUGUGGGUGAGUGGAAUUCCUUACAGUACUUUCUUUUAGAUGUCUUAAUUUACUCUCUUUGUAUUUCGAUAGAUCCAGGUGUUUGGACAGAGCUGGUCUUGGUCCCCAGUCCCCUCUCUUCAUAUCUCUGAAACCACAGGUCUCUCCAGACUGAGCUGUGUCCAGGAAGUGACCAGGUUUCCCACCUCCUAUCACAUGCCUAUCUCCUAUCUGAAACACUUCCAGGAAGAUGGCAGGGGGAAGGCUACCCUAGGCCAGAAAGCUCAGACCCAGAGAUUGGGUGGGAGAUGUUACUGACAGGGCGGGGAGGAGAAGACAAAAUUCCAGAGACAAGAAUCCCCUAUGGAAACAGCCCACUGGGCUUUUAGCCUUCCAUUUGGGUUCCACUAAAACCCGUGUGUGUGUGUGUGUGUGUGUGUGUGUGUGUGUGUGUGUGUUUCUGUUGUUCUUAUGUCUGGGUUUAUUUCAAAGGGGGAAAUUAUAAAGAAACAUCUCUCUUCUCAUUUUAACGGCAGCUUGUGCUUGGCAGGCUGUCAUGUGGCCUGCCCUUCCUGGAGGUGAAAAAUAGGGUGCUGGCAUGAGUCCCAAGAGGUUCUAGGAGCCAGAGGUUCCAAUGAUGCUUGCUGACAGAAUCCCAGGCCAGGGGAUCUGACCCAUGGUGUUUUCCUACCCACUAUUGGCAACGUAGAUAGCCAGACAGUAUCCUUGAUGGGUUGAGACCUAGAGGAAAGGACUGGGAAACUGAGGUAGCCCCUACCUGGUAAACAUCCAUACAGCCAGCUGAAGGGCAGCCUCCCCACAGCCAUUGAGGACCUUCUUUGAGUAGCAUUUGUAAGUAUCCAGCCAAGUGAGGCUGGGUUUUGUCAUGUAAAAAACCACAGCUGGUGGUGAACCUUCCUAAGGGUUCAAGUUCCAAUCUAGACUGAGAAGCCACAGCAUGACCUGGAGGCCUUGAACUUGACUUAGUCUCUACCCCCAAGAGACAAGAAGUCACAGGAGACUGGAAAAGAGGUCAGUAGAGGACUAUAGGAUUAUUAUGCUAAGAAAAUUACAAAAUAAGUUGAUGAGUGUUGCUGCAGAGGUCAGCUUAUGAAAAAAAAUGGAUGCUAAAAGGGAAAGAAAAGAGGUGUCAUUGUAACUUCUAGGUAAGGAAUCCAAAAAUAAUUUCUGACCUUUGGCUUGGUGGUAUAUUCUGUGACAAUAACAGAGUAUCAGUAUCAGAGACUGAAAAACUAUUAGGCAUCUAGUGCAAAGUCCACAUCGUUCCUACUGAUGCCUUUCCCAUUUAUGUGUACAGGUGUUUUGUCUGCAUAGAUGUUUUUGAACAUCAUAUACAUGCAGUACCUGUGAAGGCCACAGGAGGACAGUAGAUCCACUGGAAAGGAAAUCAGAUGGCUGUGAGUGGCUAGGUGGGUGCUAGGGAUCAAAAUCAAGUUCUCUGGAAGAGAAGCUAGCACUCUUAACUGCUGAGCCAUCUCUCAAAGCCUUCACUUUAUAGGCGAGGAAACUGAGGCUCAAAGGAAACUGCUUGUCCAAGCCACAAAGUAAGUCAGUGGGUGGGCUAGUUCUGCAACAGAGUUCCAUUUAUUUAGUGUUGAAUCACUUUGUGACAGCGUGUGAAUGGACAGAUCUGCAUGAAGGGGAUCUGAGAAUUCCAGUAGAUAUGCCGCUCAUAUAUAUCCACUACGUAGACACUGGCCUUCAGAUCCUGCCAGGAGAGACCAUCAGUUCUUCCUAGUGGAGCAACCUAAUAUGGUCUUCGAGACUGUUGGGCAUCAGGCUACAGGCAGAAAGCAGAGCUCAGUACCUCAUCGUAGAUAGGCCUGUUUUCAGACAGAGUUUGGUGCAGACACAAAAAGAGAACCCAGGCCCUAGGCUCUGGCCUUUAUUAACCAGAGUAAGUUUUUGCAGGACUUCCCGGCUUCUCAGAAUGGGCUCCACAAUGAGGCAAGUGGUUCUGCUUAGAACAGCAUGACUGCCCUCUGGUUGCCAUACUCCUGAUAUCCCCAAUACCAGCUCCACACUGCCCAUCGGGGAGGCAGAGAGUGAAGAAUGCCUCUUGCUAAGUGGAUGAACACCCUACACUCUAGAAGAGACCAGCAGGGGACUGUAGAAUACUAAUGUGUAAAGCAACAAGCUUUUAUAGGAGAUGUUAGUCCAGGCUAUACUAGAAGGAGGAGGAGGAAGAAGAGGAGGAGGAAGAAGGAGAGGAAGAAGAGGAGGAGGAGGGGGAGGAGGAGGGGGAGAAGGAGGGGGAGGGGGAAGAAGAGCUUCCAGCUUUUGCAUUCCAGCUUCUAGAUAAGGUUUCUAAAAAUAAUCCCUUGAAUUGGGAAUGGGGGCAGUAUAUCUUAUAGUUCCAGCUAACCAGGAGGCUGAGGUGGGAAGAAUCAACCCAUCUGGGCAAUAGAGCGAGACCUCAUUAAAAUAAAAUCCUUAAUUGGUAUGGGUUUCUGUAGCUUCAUGAAUAAUUAACCAAUAAUCAACAGCCCUUUGUCUAAGGUCUGUGUUUACAAAAAUAUUGUAUUUAUACCUCCUGGUUUAUACUUCUUGUAAUCCCAUGUGGUGUCUAUCAGUGUCCACAUCUUAAAGAUGAGUAGACUGAGGGUCAGAAAACCCAAGCAAGUUGCUCCAAGUUGCAAUUUGGUAGUAGCCUCCUAUCUACCCCCAGAUCACAGAGUGCCUUCUGGGAAGAAGGCACACUAGGCUUGGGUUGCAGGUGGCAGUCAGUCAUUUCUGUCACAGAAUCAUUGCUGAGUUGGGGAACUGGACCAUAAUGCAGCUCUCUCUCAUCUUCUAGGGAGCAGAAUUCUCUUCUGAAGUCGUAUAGCACUGCCUGGUGAGCCUGAUGCAUUGAGGAUGAUUUGCAUGUCAGAUAGACACAUGGCCUUGAAUGACAGGCAUGGAGUGCUGAGUUUGUCUAUAGUCACCACCAGCUGUGUGGGCAGAGUGGAGAAUAGAGUCCAGAAAAAGCACUGAAAAAUCUGAGCAAAGUACAAGAGCUCUGGGUUUUGUGCUGGUCUAACCCUCUGUAUAAUCUCCAUGGUCAAGCACGAGGUAGAAGCCCUCUUGUUAAAAACGAAUGAAAAUUCUAGGGCAGCCUGUUGGUGCAUGCCUUUAGGGAGGCAGAGGCAAGUAGAUCUCUGAGUUCAAGUCCAGCCAAAUCUACACAUCAAGUUCCAGGACAGCCAGGGCUACCCAAAGAAACCAUGUCUGGAAAGAGAGGGGACAGGCUGUCUCCUGCAGCUAUUUAGAAACAGGCAAAUGAAAAUGACUCAUACAUAGUUGCAGAGUACAAGCUGGUAGCAACCCGGAAAUCACCCACCAUUGCCAGGCUCACAGAUACAAAGGGGUCAAAGAGAGAAGUGGGACCCAGUAGGUUUCUUUCUAUCUUUCUACCCCAGAACUGGCUUCAAUGGAGUCCUACAGAUUCUGCCCCCAGAUUACUCCAGAAAUCCCACUGCUCCAUGCUUAGAAAUUCAGUCUUACAUCUCUUUUAAACUUUUAAACUACAUUUUACAUGUGUGGGAUAGCACACAGGUAGAGGUCAGAGGGCAACUUGUUAGGUUGGUUCUUUCCUUUCCCUGCAUGGGUUGUUGGGGAUCAAGCUUGAACUGUCAGGCUUUGUGGCAAGCAUCCUUACCUGCUGGGCCCUAUCGAACUUAUUUUUCACUUGUUGAGACAAGACCUUGCUUUGUAAUCUUGGCUAUCUUGGAACUCCCUAUAUAGACUAGGCUAAUCUCAAACUUACAGGAAUCCACAUGCUUCUUUCCCCAGGUGCUGGGUUACAAGCAUGUGUCAGCACACAGGGCUCUACAGUACAUCUUUUUCAUUAAUUUACUUAUUUAUUCAUUUUACAAUCUAAUCACUGCCUCCCCAUCCCAGUUCCCCCUCCUCUUUUAACCAAACUUUUUGUGUGGACAGGCCUCAAGAGCACACACCACACACACACACACACACACACACACACACUGCCCCCCCUCAGUUCAGCAUUCAGUUUUGUUUCCAGACUGUCCCCCUUCCUUCCCUCUCUUCCCCCUCUCGUCCUGCCAUGACAGAGUAGCAGUGUCUCAUAGUCGUCUGCAGGGUCUCUUGGGGUGAAGCUGGACCCCACAGACAUCUUUGAGGGUGGGGCUUGAGUGCUAAUGGAUAGCUAUGUAUAGUGGCUUGGUGGAAAGACAUUCAGUUUUCGGGGGGUUAAAACUUUACUGUCUCUCUUCUUUUCCUCUCCUAGGGUUUUAGACCCAAGUAUUCUCUAGUAAAUUGACAAUAAAAUCCCAUUCAGGAGUAUUCCAAGGAUCAUGUAGGAGGGCCUUUAGACCAUAGGCAUGGGCAAGAAGCAGGGCAGUUAGAUUCACAGAGCCUGCAUGACCCAGUGCUGAUGGACACUUGUUCAUACUUGACCCAUUUCAUCUUCACUGCAGAUAAUACUCCAUGAGGUUCUGAGCCAGCCCGAAGCCAUAAACCCAGAAAGCAAUAGCGCCCACACAAGAAUUUACUAAUGCCGGCAUGACCUGUUACAAGGGCACCUUUGGGCUUUGCUGCUCUGGACAUGAUGUGGACUCCCACAAAAGACUGAAACAUUCAGGAAGCCAAACAUCCAGAGGAGAGAAAGCAGGCAUUGUGAGGUAGGCAGGUUGUGGUCACUGUGGGGCCCAGUUUCUGGCUAGCUCUGCCCAUCCUAGGAUACACUGGCUGCCUCACAUUUAGCUCUGCCCAUGAUUUCUGCAACCAUGUUUUCAAGGAUGACGUAACAACCCAGUGUACCAAUGGUCCUCCUUCAUUUUUCCUGUUAAGCAGAUUUAAAAAUGAACCAAGAAUCUUGGCUGCCAUUAAUUUCACAGCUUUACAACAUUUUGCAUUCUUUUUAUUUAUUUUAUUUUUCUUGAGUCACUUUUAAAGCCCUUAUGAUUCCCUUAUUUCUCUAUUGGGGAAUUCUCCUCUCUCCUGAAUACCCCAUCCCCCAGAAAACUUUAAAUAAUGUAACAAAUUCUCGUUUCAUUCCCUUUUUGUUUCUAAAUGGAUUUUUCUCCACAGAACAUCCCUGAGAAUCACAUAUGUCAGGCACUUCCCUAGGUGCCCCUUAGUCCUCACACUGAUCUACCCUUCUCCAGCCACUCCUCCUCCUCAAUCACACUCUGCUCUUUUAAUUGCUGCUUCCCUUGUCAUACUUGAGGCUUCUCCCUCCUGUCAGUCUGUCUCCCUUAGAUGCCAAUUCUUUCUUCCAUUGCUGAGAAUUCAUUAAGAUACUCAAGACUCCUGCACAUCUGCACCCUCCAUGCUGAAUCAUCCUAGUCUGUGUAGGAUGUUCCUUCAGAUGCUGACAGGAGCAGAGGACCAGGGGAGUCUGCUCAAGUGCAGAUUAAGGCAUUGCUGUAGAGUUGUGGGUCCCAUGGUCCAGCUGACACCUGCAGCCUCAUGGCAGAGCCUCUCUAAGACUGGACUGAUGCCCUUCCUAACUGCCUCCCUGGCCAGCCCAAUGGGUCCCUGGGACUGUCUUUUGUUUUAUGCAUUGCUGUUUUGUAGGCUGGUCCUAUAAACCAUCAGGGUCACCUGCAAUUGUUCCUCAGGUGUCUGCUGGGCCUGUGGGCACAGCUGGAAAAGAGUUGAGCAGGAGGCCAAGGGAAGUGACCCAAUGACUAAAAAGUCAAUGAGGUUAUAACUCUCUGGUAUGCUCUUAGCAGAAGGCUGAGCUACUCAGCACAUAGAAGAGCUGCCUGAAAGUUGUCACCCAUCCUGUUUGGGUUUUGACUUUUAGAUGGGUAUGUAGGUAAGUACCAGAGAAGGUCGUUUGCUAUGAGAGGCUUAAUCAAAAACAUGGCAGUCUUGACAGUUUCUAGGAAAGAAUGAUCUGAUUGUAGCUAACUGCCUCACCCAGGCAGGUCACAUGGUCCUUGUGAUAGGGUCUAUUAUGAGACAAUUGAGACGAUUGGCUAUGGGGACAAUUCUGUUGUUAUCAUACAGAUAAACACACACACACACACACACACACACACACACACACACACAGGAGGAGGGGACAGGGAGGGGAAGAGAGAGAUAUCAUUCAUUUGCUCAUUCAUUUCUUGCCUCAUUCUAAAAAGAGACUUAAGGCAAGAGACACAGCUGGAAAAUGGACACAGAGAAAAUUAUUCUGAAAUUCUAAUUUGAAAGAUAAAGUCUGAGAUGGUCUUAAGUGGGAGUAAGGCAGUAGACAGGGGGCUAGUCUAUAAAACUAGGAGACGCAGCCUUCAGGAUGAGGAGGCAAAAGACACCUUGGAUGGAGACGGGAGCAUCUGGGGAAGGGAGAGGCAGAUAGCGCCACAUUCUUCUGUCCAGCCUCAGUGGUUGCUCCAGGCACAAUGGAAUUGAUGUUCCUAAAAGCCCAGAAUCCCAACUAGGAUGGCAGGCUCUGAAGCACAGAAAUGGUUCAAAAACUCUGAUAUGUUGAGCUUUGCAGUGACUCUGACCCCUCCUUGCUGUAUAUCACUUUCAUAGACCCGUGACCGUCUAUUUUACACCUCCUUUAAUAGGAUGUGGGCAAUAGCAACAUGAAGGAGCGGCCUGGAAAAGUCUUCCUGUCCAUCAUAACCCCCCACCCCCGCAUCCUGAAAAGCUCUGGUUAAAAAACACUUUUUUGCCACGGGCAAUCAGUGCCUUCUUAAUCGCAUGGAAAAUGUGAGUCUAUGCCUCUUAGAAAAAGCUGCUCUUUUCUUUUCAUUGCUCUGGAAAGAGCCAGCUGAGUCCUUAUAGCUGUUUCCGGUGUCUCCCAAGCCCCUGCUUCUAACCAGUUUACUGUUCCCACGUCCCUGCUAGGCAGACAUUCAUGUCUCCUCUCCAGGAUAACUCUGUCUGUCUGGUGGUAGUAGUUCCGAGUGGUCACAAGCUCAUGAAGUGGCAGUUUUAUCAGCUGGAGUGGGUCCCGGGGAGGCAGGGCCAAUCCUGUUCCUCUGAGGAGGACAACGAUAAAAGUGGAAGUGGAGAUGGAGGAGCUUGGCUGUGGGGUAGCUGGGUUGUAUGGAAGGGGAUGUAUGGGGUGAAGCAGGAGGAUGACGCUGGAGGUGGAGGGGUGGUGGUACCCGGGCAGAGAAGGCCUUGAGGUCUGGUGAAGAAGACUGGCCGGUAUUCAUCCACACCAAGGAAAAAUGGCAGGAAAUUCAAGAGUUCAGGGAUCAGGUAAAGUCCAGUGUGAGAAGUAAACUCUCGGACUGGACAUUUGCCUUAGGAAUUAAAGGGAUGGAUAAAUGAGAUGGAAAGGCCUGGACCGUAGGAGGAAGUCAGCCCAGACUCAGGAAGAUCUGAAGCUUAUAAGGGGGAAAGUGUCCCCUUAAUAGGUAGCAUAGGCUGUCACUUGAGAUUCCUUGUGGAUUCCUGACAAGGGACUAGUGGCUAGACUACUACUGUUGACUAGCAUAAGAGCAGCAGAGAGGUUUUCCAGAAGGCCCCCAGGCCUCAGGAAAUGGUAAACUGAGGCAGAUAAGGGUUAAUGCGUUCUGAAAUAUUAAUCAUCCCGGUACUUAAUGCAGGGUGAAAUGAGAUAAAUUAUUCACAUCACUCAGUGUCAUAAAAAGGCUGAUGAUGCCAUAUCAGGCCUCUUUAGCUGCAUUUUACACAUAGGUCUUCUUCCUAUCCCUCUUGUUUAAUUGUUUUCAGAACAUCUGGCUUAAAUUGGUAUUUCAUGUCUCUGUUCUUUAUCUUCUGCCAAAAUAAAUUAGAUCAUACAUUCACUUCAUGACUUUCUGACAUUUCCCAUAUUUGUACCUUCACACAAACACAUCUAGGAAGAACUAGGGACUGAGGAAUCAGGCUCGGCAGAAAGGUGGGACCGUUUUCCAUGCUCAGGACUUCCAAUCUUCCAGCAAGAGGGCUGGCUCUGCACAGGGGCUACAGGACGUCUAUUUGUGAGACACUCUGAAUUAGUAGUGAUUUGUGGGAAUUAGAUCGCAAAGAUGUCUGUGCAGAGGUACCCACAGUCCUCCAGGGUGUCUGCAAAAUGGAUCUCAAUGAAUGGGGCUUUUUAUAGCCUUUCCACUCUUGGGCAGCCUUUCAGUGGCCCCAGUCCACAGCAGUUUCCCACAAUGGCUGAACUUCUGCUCUUCUUUACCAGGCACUGAGCCCCAGAAGGGAAUGGACUCUGAGAGUAGGACUCUUGAGGAGGGUCCGUGGGCUCUGCACUAACGUCAGUGGUGAAACACUAAGAAAGUGUGAGAAAGGAGAAACAAAUUAAGGCAGGAUUGAGGGGGAAAAGCACAGAAGGAAGGGAUGGAGAACUAGCCAGCAGACAGAGCGUAAGAGAAUUAAGCCAGAGGGAAGCAGAGUCUCUGGAGAAAGGUAAACAGGUCAGGGGAGCAGCUGGUCGGGAAUAAGAGUCUGGGAGAGAGGGUCAGGCUUCUCAGAAAGCAAAAGGAGCAAGACAGAUGGAACUAAGGGAAAAAUCAGGAGAGUCAGGGAGUGUGAGGGAGGCAGAGUCUCCAUGUCCUGCAGUGAGCUAAGCUAAGUGGAGGGCAAGUUGUCUUACACAUGCACACACCCACAUACACACACACACUUCUUACUAUGUUAUUUGUGAGACUCUGCAAACCCAAAUUGCCUCCUUCUCACCUACUGGAGCUCUUCUCUGUGUCCCCUGUCUUCCCCUUCAAUUCUUAGGGGUAAUUGAAAAUGAGUCAGAUGUGGACUUGCAACAUGCUAAAGAACUGGUGGGCUCCUUCUGUUUCACAGUGGGGUUCCAGUCCUCUGGGUUGCACACUCAGCAUGCCCACUGAAGUCUGACAGUGGCCCUGGCUGGAUGUAACUCCUGUGGUUGGAAGCUGCCAUGUAGAAGCAGCUAGGCCAAACAAAGAACUCUUUUUUGUUUGCUUGCUUGUUUGUUUAAAACAGGCUGUCAGGAAAUUUACACUGUAAAAAGUUAUGUAUAUAUAUAUAAAUCCAAUUUACUGGUGAGAACUAAAUGAAUAAAGUACUUGUUUGGGGAUUGAAUCUAAUGCUUUGUCCAAAUUCGACUCCCAAAAGCCGCACUUCCAGAUGUUAAGGGACCCUGCUCCCAGCUGGCAAGAAUUGCAUACAGUCAAUGGCUGGAUAAGCGGAUGGAGGCAAGACUUUUAGAUUGUGUGGGCAAGGCACCAAGGAGAAGAAGAACAGACAAAAUCACCAUGACGGGAAAACAAAGAGAGCAGACUUAAGGGCUUAUCAGCAUGUAAGAAUCUGGGAAAGUGGCCCCUAUUGGAUCUGGGACAGUGGAGAUGAAAUGUAGAUUUUAAAACACAUUAACUCAGAGAUAUCAGAGGGGAGUGCAUGCUAGCUGUGUAGAGGGUUUAGCACUGCUCAGUCAUUGAGCUAGUUUGGUGUAUCAAAAUUAGCAGCUGGAUGUGUGUGUGUGUGUGUGUGUGUGUGUGUGUGUGUGUGUGUGUAUGUGUGUGUGUGCAUAUGUGUACGUUCAUGCUUAUGUGGGUGCAUAUGCAUGUAUGAAAGCCAGAACAAGCCUAGAUAUCAUUCCUCAGAAACAAUGUCUACCUUAUUUUUGAGACAGGGUUUCUUUUGAGCCUUGAACUCAUUAAAUAGGACAGGGAGACUCAAACUGGAAUUUCAAGCACACAUUAUCAUGUGUGCAGCUGCUUUAAAAAGUGGAUUCUGGGAUUGAAUUCUGAUCCUCAAGUGCUUUAGUGACUGAGCCAUCUCCUUGACCCCAGACUUUCAUUUUAGAGGGUCUGGUUGGCAUUCAGAAUACUUGUUAUAUUUUCUAGCCUACAUUGAAGCUAACUGCGGGACAAUAUUUAGCAAGGAGGUUUGGCACAUGUAAUUUUAGGAAGUCUUAGAAAGGAGGACCCUUCUUUGCUAAUCGUAUCUGAAAUGACUACUGGAAGGCUGGCCAGGAGGCUCAGUGGGUAGAGGAGUUUAUUUGUACACUGAGAGCCUGAGUUUUACCUUUCACCCACCUCCCCAUGACAUGGCAGGAGACCAACUUUCUGACAUUCAAAGCACAGGUGCACCUGAACCCUUACAGACUUACACAAAUACAUACUAAAUAAAUAAACAAAAAGAAAUAAAUUUCCCCAGAGACUCUACCUGCUGCACAUGCAUCAGGUAAUCUCUUCUUGUGUGUGGUCUGAGUUCGUGUGCUGAGCAAGGGAAUGUAGCAUUAAAACAAAGGGGAGUCACUUCCCAGGCCAGCUUGUCAAAGACUUUGGCUUGUCUCACUCACAUUCUUGCUAGUUCUUUCUGCUUGCAUGUACGAAGUUACCAGGUAGUGAGUUGCUUUAUGGAGACGCCCAUGCCACAAGGAUCUGAGUACACCUUUGGCCAAUGGUGAGUGAGGAUUGGAGGCCAACUCAUUGCAGCAAGCAGGAUCUUGCUAGAAACUGGGUGUCUUGGAAGCAGAUCCUUCCCAACAUGAGAAGCUGGGCUGAUACCUUGAAUGCUAAUAUAGGACAAAGCCUGAGUCAGAGAACCAAGUUAAAUAUGCCUGGAUUUCCUACCCAAAGGAACUGUGGGAUGAUGUAAAUGAUCAUCAUAAGCCUCUAGGUUUGACAGGCUGCACAUUGAUCAUAAACUUUUCCUAACUAGUUUGAAAACAGACAUGAUGAUUGGGGUAGGCAUCUUGAGCUAUCAAACUGAUUUAACUAAGGCCCUGCAUGGACUAAUAGUAAACAAGAGAAGGGAACACUGCUAUCAUUUUGAAUGUUUUUUCUCAGCUGACUAAUUUUUUAAAUUUGUGUUAACAAAGUAAUGUGUCCUUUUUGCAAGCAAAGCACUCUCAUGCAGAAUGGUAAGGCAGGUCUGAUUUACUGACGAUGUGCAUAUUGUUGCCCACUUUCCCCCUGGGACUUUCGUUGUUUAAUUCCAAACUCUCUGUUAUCUCUGCCCUUUGUUCUUUAGCCGAGAGCCAUGCCUCAUAUCCCUUUCCAACCUUUUUCUGUCACCAAGUUCUGGCAGUGGUCCCAAGACACCAGGCUGAGGUUUUCCUUGUAGGGGUGUAGGUGGGGUAAAAUGUGCUCAUUCUGAAAAUAUCAGACUUUUGAAAAUAUUAGUUGGGGAAAUUCUUGAAAGCUUUGAGCAAUCUUAGUUUUAACUGAGUGGCCUGUGGCUGCAGCCUACUCUGCUCUGAGUGGAAGAUUGUUGAUGGAUGUGUCAACAUCAAUGGGAAAAUGAAAAGCUCAAAGGCAGCUUGAUACUGAGAACACAAAAAUAGAAUAUAGACAGAUCUCCCUUCUAUGACUGUGGGAAGCCAUUACUGACCGAGUGCCUUAUGCCCAGUAUGUUAACAAUGCUUGGAUAUAAAAUCUCAUUCUUGUAAAUUGCAGGAGAAUUUGGCCUUUUAAGUUCUCAUAGUUUAUUUCUAUUGUGGGUCCCUGGCUAAGUAUCAGUGACUACAUCUCAUUCAUGUGUGUUCUUGUCAUCAAGUGUCUUAUACUAAAUAAGCACUCAAUAAACUGUUGGGUAUAAGUUGGAGGUGAUCUUUUUGUGCACUGUCUAAAGAUUGUCAUAUUGUUCAAAUAAUGAUUUCUAUGCUGGCAGAGAGUUGAGUGCAGACCAGACUUUGGUAUUAUAACUUAUAUUUCUACAUCAUAUUUUGUACACAUUCCCUCUCUAUGUCCUUAUUGGUUUAAUAAAAAGCUGAUGGCCUAUAGCAAAAGAAGAGAGAAUAGGUGGGACUUCCAGCUGAUAUAGGAACUCUGGGAAAGUGUCAGGAGAGGAGAAUUCACCAGCCAGUCACAGAGGAGGUAGGCUGAGACUGAAGGAGAGGUAUCUAGGAAACCUCCUGGUAGAAUUUAGAUCAGAAUAAAUGGGCUAAUUAGAUUAUCUGAGCUAGUUGGGAACAAGAGUAAGCAAAAACCUUAAUCAUGAAAAGUAAAUACCUUUGUGUCUUUACUCAGAGCUGGGUCAGGCCUAGAAAGCCACAUGGUUGUAGGUACAUUCUAAGGAAGAUUCUUCAUUAUUGUAAUCCUACUUCAGGACACUCUUAGGUCAGUGAUAUCCCCCGUCUUCUCACUAAUACAGACUGCCAAUGUACAGUUGUUCAUUGGCUUCAUAAAAUUAUCUGGAAUUUCUACCAUGUACCAGGCUAUCCUAGAUGCUGGUAUUGUCACCGUCAAUGACAGUCAAAUAAAUCUCAGCUCGAUUCUGUUUUGUUUCCUGGUCUCCUCUGCAGUGAAGGGGCGCCGGAUGGUUGGUGUUGGCCAACAGACUAAGCAGAGUGGGCACAUUUCAUUUACAGUCCAAAGCUAUUCACAGCUAGUGGGCUUUCUUCUCCUCUUCUCCCUUGGAGUAUUCUGAAGCCAUGUGUUCUGAGGCCAGCACCAGAUGGGAUAAUCUGAGUCGCCGAAACCUGGAUGGAAGAGGGUAACUGUCCCCAUAUUUCUUGUUUGUACUUCCCCGACAAUUGCAAAGCCACCUGAACAAAGGUGAGCCAUGUGGUUACUAUGGAGCAAGAAUAUGCCAGGCAGAGAGAACAAAUGGCACGAGGAUUGGCUUGGGAAUGACUACAACCAGUUUUGUUGUGUUGAGCCUAUUUGGAUGCUUGAAUCAACUAGGAACCUGUGUAUUCCAUUUUAAUUUAUUCUUUUUUAUUGAAACAAUUUUUUUAAAAAAAGAAACAGGUUUAGGUUUACAGUGAGAUAGAGAGAUGGGUUUAAAGAUUGGUCAUGUGUUUCCUGGCUCUGUCUUAUAUACCCAGCCUUUCUGGUGUCUGCAUCCUUUGCAAGACUGGCACAUUAGUUACAAUGGCUGGAUCAGCACUGACACAUUAAUAUCAUCCAAGUAAAUAGCAUACACUUGCGCCCUGUGGAUUUGGCAAAAGCAUAGUGACGCAUAGCUGCCAACUUAGUAGCAUAUGGAAUAAUUUCGUGGCCCUCUUUCUCCGGUGCUGCCUCUGAUAUUCAGGCAUCCCCUGCCUUCAGGAAUGAAGUGGCUCACACUCCGUAGGAGACAGUGGGGUAUGGACCACUCUCUCCAUCUUUCCUGUGCUGCCUUCCCGAUUGCUGGCAUUAGGGUGGCCAGCCCUGCUGAUUCCCACAGCUCAUGCCAAGCUCUACUCAUCACAGAUUUCUACUUAGUCACUGUCUGCUUAAAACUUCUGUCCUGAGGAGACAAGUUAGCUAAAUGCAGACAUUCUUCUCUAUCUUGCUGAGCUAGGCUGACUCUGUUCAAGAAUAUGGUGUAACUCAAAACACACUCUGAAUUCUAAACAGCUCUUUCUGGUACUAUUUCCAAAGGUCAGAAAAAAUUAUGAUAAUGUUAUGUAUGGAAAAAUUUCAAUAUAAAAGUGGACACUGAUUCACCUUUGUUUUUAAAUGACAAAUUGCUCUAAACGUUUCUAUGUUUAGAGAUGUAUAAAUGGAAUGAGUUUCCUAUAAUAAACUUGGAUGUUGUUCAGAUCUCUCAUAGCGGGAAAAGCUUUUCACAAGUAACUUGAAUUGGCUAUGAUAUCUAUGAUAUCAUUCACAUAUGUAUAUAUGCACAUAUAAACAAACAGAAAACUAAGGAACGGACUCAGUUUUAGAAUCUUAUACAUCUGUGAAACUAAAACAAAUUUGUUAAUUAAAUGCAAUAAAACUACCAAAUAAAGAGAAAUUCAAGUCUGCCAUAUUGAUUUACUACAGGAAAUGACACCCAUCUGAAACUAAGUCACCCUCAAAACAACACUGUGUUGACUACAGUAGAACAGGGCAACAGCAUGACCUAUUUCAUCCCAUGCUAUUCGAUGGUUCAUCCUCCCACCCACCUUUGUUAACUGGGCACACCAAGGCACAAUUUGACUAUGUUGGCCAGGUGUUGUGUUGCAUGACUUUAAUCCCAGCACCUAGGAGGCAGACAGAUCUCUGUGAGUGCAAGGCCAGCCUGGCUUACAUAGUGAGUCUCAGGCCAACCUGGUUUACACAGUGAGUUCCAGGACAGCUAGGGUUACACAGAGAGAACUUGUCUCAAACAAAACACAACACAACAAAACAAACAAUCGGACUGUGCUUUGAUAUGGCCAUACUCUUUAUUUAUAAAUUGUUUUCUUAUCUUUUUUCAAGUCUGUCACAGUUCUCUUAGUUCUCUUUGCUAACCACACGUCCAAACAUAGGUAGUGGAAUUUCAUUCCCAGGAAAACUAUAAAAGGUUCCUAUAUUUGCAAACAUUUUAACCUCACUCUUAAUUCAAUGCACAUUAAAACAAGAGUCCCUUUCAUCUGUCACAUUGACAAGGUUCUUAAAGAUAGAUGCUGGUAGGCAUGUGUGAUGGGCACUCCUGAAUACUUACUGGGGGAAUAAAAUCUUACCUGACCUUCAUGGAAAGCAAUUUGGCCAUCUUAAGAGAUUUCAAAACCUCCGAGUUACUAAUUUCAAAUACAGCUUUUAAUCCUAAGAUAAUAAUUUUAAGCUACUGACAAAACAAAAAAAAGAAUUUUGCAUAAAGAUAUUCAUGGAAAUGUGGACGAUGAAAGAUAGACUCCCCCAAUGUCCCAGAGUCAAUGAAAGAAUUUAAGGUACAGGCCUUCUUUAGGGAUUCAGUGCUUAUGGCUCCAGAACAUAAUACUGCAAACAGUACUAAAGUGAGUCACACCAACUUUUUGAUUUCUAAGUGUGUGCAAAACUACAUUUACAUUAUUCUGUAGUAUAGUCACUAGUUAAGUGCAUCAUAAAAAGUCAAUGCCAUACAUAGGUCAAUUAGAUAAGCUUUAUUGCUUCUACAACACCCACCCACAAGACUUCGAUUUGCUUUUUGAAGUUAUCUUGAAUAAGUGAGUGAUUUAAUAAUGCAACUCACCCUAUUAUUUUUGAUAUAAAGAUGAACUACUAAAAAUAAUAAUUUGGAAAAUAGUGCUUUUCGGUAUCCACGUUUAUUUGUAAAAGCAAUGCUUCCCCUUCACCCGACAACUACCCACCCAACCUGACAAUUCUGUGUUCGCCUUUCAAAAGAAAAUGGAUUAGCAGAUACCACCAAGUCCAGCGAAACAAAUUCCAUAUCUACUCCCACUGCCACCCCUACACCACCCCCACCGCACUCUGUAUCCAUCCGUCUGUCCGUCCGUCCGACUGUCCAUUCAUUUGUCGAAUCUGAGACAGGUCUGUCUUCGCAUCCCAGGAUAGUUUGAACUCAAUGUGAUACUUCUGCCUCAGGCUUCAGCCUAGCAUAGGUUCAGAUAGGUGUGAUCCCUGACACCUGGCUUUGGGGUCAGUUUCUAGAAGGUCUGGUAAACUGAAUGAAAGGGACUUUCCUCUCCCAUCUGAGGACCUCUAUUUAUUAGAUUGUGCUCCCUCUCCUGGUGACAGUCUGUCCCUAGAGGCCAGACCGAGUCUCCCUUUAAGGAGGGCGUGGAGCAGAGACUCCUACAGCCCACCACAGAGCCUCUCUGGGGAACAGAGCUUAAGCACACCCAAGACCUGAACACAAUACGCGUGCUUGCGCUGCCCUCUUAGGGUCACUUGGGCCGGGCUUCGGUCAAGUCAGACUCAGGCUCAGGUAAUGCAUCUGGACGGCUGGGGCGGGGCGGGGCGGGGGAGCCUGCGGCCACCAUGGACUG
Rattus norvegicus (Norway rat) is the source of this 16130-nucleotide non-coding RNA. NCBI's taxonomy places the organism in Eukaryota, Metazoa, Chordata, Mammalia, Rodentia, Muridae. The record is from RefSeq and is a predicted model, not a curated record.